This 1779-nucleotide ribosomal RNA is filed under the name Triticum aestivum (bread wheat). RNAcentral's name for it is "partial small subunit ribosomal RNA". The record is from RNAcentral. Lineage: Eukaryota; Viridiplantae; Streptophyta; Magnoliopsida; Poales; Poaceae.
AUGGCUGCUGCCGUGAGCUUUUCCCAUCAAAUGCACACCUGCCUCAUGCUCCUCUGCUACUCGAUAUGGUCUCUGCACCUGCCUUGCCCUACCUCCUCGCUUUAUUUCAACGCCAACUUUUCAGACCCCGAAGCCUAUUACCCCGGCUUGAGUUUCCAGGGUGAUGCCUACCUUGACGCUCAGUCUCGGACCAUCCAGCUAAGAAGAGCCGUUGAGAGCCCCAACAUCCAGAAUAGCGUAGGCCGAGCGUUCUGCUCGACGCCCGUGCCGUUGUGGGAUAACGCCACUGGCGAGCUUGCCCGUUUCACCACCUCCUUCACCUUCCGAAUCAAGGUAAACGGUACGAUCAGCGGCGAUGGCUUUGCUUUCUUCCUCGGAAACUAUCCUCCGAGCAGUCCAGAUCCCCUCGAAGACAGACAGAACCUAGGUCUCUACAACGGAAACGCCAGCACGGUCGCGACCGGCAAUGACCGAGCUGUGGCAGUUGAGUUCGACACCUUCUUGAACGUUGGCGUCGACACCAGCAACAGCCACAUGGGCAUCGACGUCAACUCCAUCAUUUCUCAGGCGUACACCAACGUUACCCUGGCUGGCAACAACCUAACAUCCGACCUUCCUAUGACUUGCCACAUAAUUUACGGCAACGAAUCAAAAACCCUAGCGGCUGUUCUCGAGGUCGGAGACACAACAUAUCGUGUCAACACCAGUGUUGACCUGAGGCUCAUGCCUAGUGUGGUGGCCAUCGGCUUCUCGGGUGCUACCGGUGAGGCGGACGAGUUACACCAAAUAAUUUCAUGGUCAUUUGACUCCACCUUGGACCUGCCCAGUGCCCCGGCGCCUGCAUGGAGGAGCACUAAGAGUCCACCGCCUGCACCGAAGACCCUACCCAAAGGACGGCUAGCAAAGGUAACUGGACCAAUUAUUGGAGUUAUUGCAAUUGUGUGCAUCUUUGUUGGCGUGCGUCGAUGGCAACUAUGCAUGAGAAAGAAGCGUCACAGAGCUCUCGCCGGGGGGCUUGGAGAUAUUGGUUAUCUUAAGUUGGCGCGUGCGACCAACGAAUUUGCAGAGGAAAACAAGCUCGGGCAAGGUGGUUCUGCCUCUGUUUAUCGGGGCCAACUAGCAAGUCCAAGUAGACCAGUGGCGAUAAAGAGAUUCAAGCUGGCAGAAUCAGGCGAGGAGAGGAAGGCAUUUGAGGACGAACUCAGGAUUGCCAGUCGGCUCAGGCACCGGAACCUUGUCGAAUUGAUAGGUUGGUGCUACGGUGGACAGAGGAACCUGGUUGAGCUUAUAUGCUGGUGGCAGGACGACAAGUACACCCGUCUCUUCCUUGUGUAUGAGCUUUUGCCACAAGGUAGCCUGGAUCAACACCUACACGGGGGCAAUAGUUGGUUACCAUGGUCCAAGAGGUACCAGAUCAUCCUCCACCUAGGCUCUGCACUGCAAUACCUCCACGUAGAUUGUGAGCAACACCAACAGUGCAUCGUACAUGGCGAUAUCAAGUCCAGCAACAUAUUGCUUGACGCUUCAUACAGUGCCAAGUUAUGUGACUUCGGAUUGGCAAGACUUGUUCACCAAGAAAGUGGGUCAAAGACCACAGACCUUGUGCAGGGCACCUACGGAUAUAUAGACCCUGUGUUCAUCGACACGAGCCAGCGGAACAGGCAGUCAGACAUAUACAGUUUUGGCAUUGUCCUACUAGAGAUAGUCUCUGGAAGGAACCCAACGGUGACUCUCCAUGAUACGCCUCCGUUGCCAUCAUGGGUAAGGAGUUUGUACUAG